AUGUUGCAAAGAGUAAUUUUGAAUUGUAUUCAUAAGAAUCAAUAUGGGUUUCUGAAGAGCGGAUCAAUUCAGGACUGUUUAGCUUGGGCUUUUGAAUAUAUACAUCAAUGCAAACAGUCAAAGAGACCUAUCAUCAUUCUAAAGCUGAAUUUUGCCAAGGCUUUUGAUACUGUGGAACAUGAGGUUAUUUUGCAGAUGCUCAAACAUAAGGGUUUUGAUGAUAAGUGGAUUGGCUGGGUUAAAGACAUUCUUUCUUCAGGGACAUCUUCUGUGUUGCUCAAUGUCAUACCUAGUAAACAGUUUAAGUGCAACUAUGGGGUCAGACAGGGUGAUCCUCUCUCACCCCUCCUUUUUGUUAUAGCUGCCAACCUCUUGCAGUUAGUGGUUAAUCAAAUGUUCUCCCAUGGGACCUUAACUCUCCCAAUUCCCUCCCAUGAUCAAGACUUUCCCAUAAUACAAUAUGCUGAUGAUACUAUCAUCUUUUUGUCUGCCAGAGAGGAGGAAUUGGUAGCCCUGAAAAAUAUGUUGUUGACAUUUCAGCAAUUCACUGGGCUAAAGGUUAAUUUUGCAAAGUCCUCCAUGAUUCCCUUAAACAUUAAUGAAGAGGAGGCCAACAGGUUAGCUGCUCUACUAGGCUGUAAAAUUGGAUAG
RNAcentral lists this ribosomal RNA (651 nucleotides) under Triticum aestivum (bread wheat). RNAcentral's name for it is "partial small subunit ribosomal RNA". Lineage: Eukaryota; Viridiplantae; Streptophyta; Magnoliopsida; Poales; Poaceae. The record is from RNAcentral.